This 433-nucleotide ribosomal RNA is filed under the name uncultured bacterium. RNAcentral describes it as "bacterial SSU rRNA". It matches the Rfam family "Bacterial small subunit ribosomal RNA", at positions 29 to 507 of the family's 1533-position model. The record is from RNAcentral.
AACGAACGCUGGCGGCAUGCCUAACACAUGCAAGUCGAACGAAGCCUUCGGGCUUAGUGGCGCACGGGUGCGUAACGCGUGGGAACCUACCAUCAGGUUCGGAAUAACAGUUAGAAAUGACUGCUAAUACCGGAUAAUGUCUUCGGACCAAAGAUUUAUCGCCUUUUGAUGGGCCCGCGUAAGAUUAGGUAGUUGGUGGGGUAAAGGCUUACCAAGCCGACGAUCUUUAGCUGGUCUGAGAGGAUGAUCAGCCACACUGGGACUGAGACACGGCCCAGACUCCUACGGGAGGCAGCAGUGGGGAAUAUUGGACAAUGGGCGAAAGCCUGAUCCAGCAAUGCCGCGUGAGUGAUGAAGGCCUUAGGGUUGUAAAGCUCUUUUGCCAGGGAAGAUGAUGACUGUACCUGGAGAAUAAGCCCCGGCUAACUUCGUG